This 120-nucleotide small nuclear RNA is filed under the name Capra hircus (goat). The record is from RNAcentral. Lineage: Eukaryota; Metazoa; Chordata; Mammalia; Artiodactyla; Bovidae.
GUGUUUUCUUUGGUAUCACAUAUAUUAAAUAAUUGGAAUAAUACUGCUUAAAUAAUAACAAGAUCAGCAUGGCACCGGCCCAAGGAUGAUGCACACAUUUGUGAAGUCUUCCAUAUUUUU